RNAcentral lists this ribosomal RNA (703 nucleotides) under Vibrio sp. Nn6. Its description in RNAcentral is "bacterial SSU rRNA". It matches the Rfam family "Bacterial small subunit ribosomal RNA", at positions 23 to 712 of the family's 1533-position model. The record is from RNAcentral. Lineage: Bacteria; Pseudomonadati; Pseudomonadota; Gammaproteobacteria; Vibrionales; Vibrionaceae.
CUCAAUUGAACGCUGGCGGCAGGCCUAACACAUGCAAGUUGAGCGGAAACGAGUUAACUGAACCUUCGGGGAACGUUAACGGCGUCGAGCGGCGGACGGGUGAGUAAUGCCUGGGAAAUUGCCCUGUGUKGGGGAUAACCAUUGGAAACGAUGGCUAAUACCGCAUAAUAGCUUCGGCUCAAAGAGGGGGACCUUCGGGCCUCUYGCGUCAGGAUAUGCCCAGGUGGGAUUAGCUAGUUGGUGAGGUAAUGGCCACCAAGGCGACGAUCCCUAGCUGGUCUGAGAGGAUGAUCAGCCACACUGGAACUGAGACACGGUCCAGACUCCUACGGGAGGCAGCAGUGGGGAAUAUUGCACAAUGGGCGCAAGCUGYAUGCAGCAUGCCGCGUGUGUGAAGAAGGCCUUCGGGUUGUAAAGCACUUUCAGUCGUGAGGAAGGUGGUGUCGUUAAUAGCGGCAUCAUUUGACGUUAGCGACAGAAGAAGCACCGGCUAACUCCGUGCCAGCACCGCGGUAAUACGGAGGGUGCGAGCGUUAAUCGGAAUUACUKGGCGUAAAGCGCAUGCAGGUGGUUAGUUAAGUCAGAUGUGAAAGCCCGGUGCUCAACCUCGGAACUGCAUUUGAAACUUGCUGACAGAGUACUGUAGAGGGGGGUAGAAUUUCAGGUGUAGCGGUGAAAUGCGUAGAGAUCUGAAGAAUACCGU